UAAGACGGAGGUCCCGAGCGUUGUUCGGAAUUAUUGGGCUUAAAGCGCGUGUAGGCGGAGCCGUAAGUACCUUGUGAAAUCCCCGGACUCAAUCCGGGAACUGCUUGGUAUACUGCGGUUCUCGAGGCAGGUAGAGGUCACUGGAACCUUAGGUGGAGCGGUGAAAUGCGUAGAUAUCUAAGGGAACGCCUGUGGCGAAAGCGGGUGACUGGGCCUGUCCUGACGCUGAGACGCGAAAGCGUAGGGAGCAAACGGGAUUAGAUACCCCGGUAGUCUACGCCGUAAACGAUGCGCACUAGGUUCGAAGGUCUCUGACGAUCCUCGGACCGAAACAAAAGCGUUAAGUGCGCCGCCUGGGGAGUACGGCCGCAAGGCUA
RNAcentral lists this ribosomal RNA (377 nucleotides) under uncultured bacterium. RNAcentral's name for it is "bacterial SSU rRNA". It matches the Rfam family "Bacterial small subunit ribosomal RNA", at positions 521 to 896 of the family's 1533-position model. The record is from RNAcentral.